This 6071-nucleotide long non-coding RNA is filed under the name Sus scrofa (pig). Its description in RNAcentral is "lncRNA (ENSSSCG00050010456.1)". Lineage: Eukaryota; Metazoa; Chordata; Mammalia; Artiodactyla; Suidae. The record is from RNAcentral.
AAAAAAAAAAAAAAAAAAAAAUCUCUACCCCUUGUAGGCUCACCACUUUGCUAAAUCAAAUACUGUCUUGUAUCCUUGUCCUGUGAGUCCUAAUGGCCACAUUUGGGAACAUUUCUGUGAUCUCUGCCUGGCUGUUUGAGAUGACCAUCCAUGUCUGGCACAUCGUUGCUGUGGGCUCACAGCCAUGUGGACACAUGCUCACCAUACACACACAGUUGCCAUUUCUUCAGAUGCCCUCCUUCCUCCUGUCUUUUCUACACGGAGCAUGCCUGUCAUCUCCAGAGGUAAGACCUGCCCCAUUACACACGAGAUGAUCAUCACUAACUCGGGGGGUACAGCUAGACGGAGACAUCUCGCAGUGUGUUAAUAAAGGGCCUGGUGAGGAAUAGAAAAAUGUUACCCCAGGUAAUUCUAAGAAACUGCCUGCGGUUUGCUGCAACCAGGACUGGAGGAUUACAGGAAUGAGGGCGGGAGGGUUGUACCCAUGUACUUGGCUCCGAUCUGAUGUUGCUGUGGCUGUGGUGUAGGCUGGCAGCUGUAGCUCCGAUUCGACCCCUAGCCUGAGAACCUCCAUAUGCUGUGGGUGUGCCCCUAAAAAGACAAAAAGAAAAAAAAGAAAAAACCUUAAAGGAAAUAACUUACUUUUGACGACUAUUUUCAUUCUAGAAAACAUCCUUGUGACAGUUGGCUUAGGUGUCUGUUUCUCCAGUGACUCUUACUAUAAAUUUAAGAGUAUAUUUCUGUAAGGUAGAAAAUUCCUUUGGGGUAGAAUUGAACUGUUUUCCUAUGGAAUGUGCUACACUGUGACCAACCACAUAGAAUCUUUUUUUUUUUUUUUUUUUUUAAAUAGCUGCACCUGCAGCAUAACAGCGUUCCCAGGCCAGGGAUUGAACCCUCACCUCGGCAGCAGCCCAAGUCAUUGCAGUAGGAUUCUUAAUCCACUGUGCCAUGGUAGGAACACCACCACAUAGAUUCCUGAGCACUGAGGUGUACAGGUGGCCGUAGUUUAUGGGAAGUUCCAGAAACUUUCUCUCUUUGAUUUUUAUUUAUUUUUUUUGUCAAGAAUGAACAUGCCUAUAAGAGCUAAGCUUGCAGUAUCACACUUCACCAGCAGGGAACGCUUUCUGAAACACAUUCAGUGUGAAUUCUUCUUAAGUUCCUAGCUUCUUGAUGGAAAAAGACAGUUUACAGAGACAAAGAAAGUCAAGAUUCUGGGCACCAAUUCUGUACUCUUGAAAUGCAUUUUAUCAGGCAAUGAGGUAUAUUUGUAGUUUUCUCAAAAUGUUCUUCUCAAGGCAAUAUGCCCUGUCACCACUGAGGAAGGUCAAAGGGGGUAGAUUUCUUUUUUGGGGUUUUAUUAUUUACUGAGCACCACCUCUGUGUCAGGCACAGUGCUGAGUGCUUUUCCUCAUUCACUGGCUCAAGCUUCAUCAAGUGACCGGCCUAUGUGUUAGUACUAGGACCUGGUCUUUGGGACAGAAUGGCCCACAGUGGUGCUUUACAUUAGUUUCUGAGGUUGUCUUUGCCUUGUCCUGUGUUACCUUAAAGAAUUGAUUGUAAAAAGAAAGAAAGAAGGAGUUCCCGUCCUGGCUCAGUGAAAAUGAAUCCAUGAGGAUGCAUGCAGAUUCGAUCCCUGGCCUCGCUAGGUGGUUAAGGGUCUGAUGUUGCAGUGAGCUAUGGUGUAGGUCACAGACACAGCUCGGAUCUGGCAUUGCUGUGGCUGUGGUGUAGACCGGCAGCUACAGCUCUAAUUCAACCCCUUGCCUGGGAACUUCCAUGUGCUGCCUGUGCAGCCCUAAAAAGACAAAAAGAGAGAAGGAAAAGCAUACCUCACUCCACUUAUUAAAUUGUGGCCUCCUGAUAUCCAAGAAUUAUUCUUCUGAAUUUAAACAGUGCCCAUUGUCAUGCUUGUGAUAAAUGCUUGCUGUGAGAGAACUUGUCUUUUAAAGGGGAGCAGUGGUUGUUUUUUUGAAAUGUGCUAAGAAGACCUACCUGGAAUCCCUUUUUGAUUGAGGGCAGUGAGUCAAAAAUGCUGUGUGAUUAUCAUACUAAGUGAAGUAAGCCAGACAAAGACAAAGACCUUCGGAUAUUACUUAUAUGUGGAAUCCAAAAAUGUGAUAUAAAUGACCUUAUUUACAGAACAGAAAUUGACUCACUGACAUAGAAAAAACUUACGGUUACUAAAGGGGAAAGGUGUGGGGAAAGAUAAAUUAGGAGGUUGGGAUUAACAUACACUACUACAUAAAUAAUAGGUAAACAACAAAGACCAACUGUAUAGCAUAGGGAACUAUAUUCGAUAUCUUUUUUCUUGCUCAUACCCAUGGCGUAUGGAAAUUCCAAGAUCAGAGAUUGAAUCCUGGCUGCAUCUGUGAUCUGUGCCAAAGCUGUGGCAACACCGGAUCCUUAACCCAUUGUGCCACAGCAGAAACUCUUAUAUUCAGUAUCUUAUAAUAACCCAUAAUUAGUAUAAUUAGUUAAUUAUAGAAAGUUUAUAGGUGAGCCAGUGGAAAAGAAUCUGAAAAAGAAUAUAUAUGUCUGUAUGACUGAAUCGUUGUGCUUAUACCUGAAACUAAUAUAGCACUGUAAAUCAGUGAUACUUCAAUAAGAGAAAAUAAUAAUUAAAGAAACAUUUUUUUCUUUUUAUGUCCAUACCUGCGCAUAUGAAAGUUCCUGGGCUAGAGUUCGUUUGUUUAUUUAUUUAUUUAUUUAUUUAUUUAUUAUUUUUGCUAUUUUAGGGCUGUACCCGCAGCAUAUGGAGGUUCCCAGGCUAGGGGUCGAAUCAGAGCUGUAGCCACCAGCCUACAUCAAGGUCACAGCAACGUGAGAUCUGAGCCGUAUCUUCGACCUGCACCACAGUUAACUGCAACGCUGGACCCACUGAACAAGGCCAAGGAUUGAACCCAUAUCCUCAUGGAUCCUAGUCAGGUUCACUAACUACUGAGCCACGAAGGGAACUCCUGGGCUAGGGUUUAAAUUGGAGUGGCAUCUUCGACCUACACCAUAGCUUGUGGCAACACUGGAUCUUUAACCCACUGAGCGAGGCCAGGGAUUGAACCUGCAUCCUCGCAGACACUGUGUCGGGUUCUUAACCCUCUGUGCUACAAUGGGAACUCCAAGAAAUUGGAAAAAUUAAAAAAAUGCUGAGUGGUUUUGGUUCCCUGAGAAACUGUAUUGUUUCUUUCCCUUGUGUUUGGUCUCCUGUCCCCACACUGAGACUUUAGAGACGUGGAUUCCCAUCUUUGAGACCCUGUUCCCGUACUCAGCUAGCCUUGCACAUUCCACAUUUUCAGAGGAGCAUCCUUCUGUGCUUCUUCCUUCUCUGUUUCCCCUACACUUAUUGAUAAAGCACUGGAGGAAGAUUAUGUAUGAACUCAGGAUUCUGUUAUUACUUCUGUUAUUUGUUUCCAGUUAAAAAUGAGAACUCAUUUUGGGGAGGGAGACGGAAAGGGAAAAAGUUUCUAAGUGAGCCGGUGGAAAAAGCACAUUCAUUAUCAAUGUCUUUCUCACUGAGUCGUUUGAAGCUGGGAAAAUUAGCAGCCGCUUUGAAGCUCAGAAGAUCUUUCAUCUUGGUGUGUGUGAGUGUGUGUGUGUGUUAAUAUUAAGUUGAGAUUCUUUUUCUUGCCACUUAUUUGGUUUUGCUGCUAAUAAUGAAAUUAUAAUGAGAUCCCUGAUGGGAUUAAAAAAAAAAAAAAAGAAAAAACACCUCACAUGAAUUAUCCUCUUUCCCCCUCACCCUCCUUCUGCCUUUCUGUAAAAUCUAUUCUGCAUAAUAGGUCUUUGUCUCUGGAUUUGAGGCUGAAUUGAAGGAGGCCAGGAGUCGGAAGUGCCCCAUUGUUCUUUUGGGGACUAGGAUGCUAAGUUCUGUUGGGUUGGGGAUGCUCUCUUUUCCUACAUUUCCCAGUCCUCUUCCUCCCUGGACCCCAUGACCCCCCAUCUUCAACACCCCCCAGCUUUGGGUGGGGAGGGGGUGAAGACAAGUAUUGGAUGUUUUUGCAGGCCGAAUGCUCAGUUUAUUUGAGGUGCACACACUCCCUUCCCCCCUUUUAUGUAUUUUCUAUUUAUUUUGUACUAGAAUAUAGUUGAUUUACAGUGUUGUGUCAAUUUCUGCUGUACAGCAUAGUGACCUAGUCAUACAUAUAUACACAUUCUUUUUCUCACACCAUCUUCCAUCAUGUUCCGGCUACUUGGGAGCUGGAGGAUCGCUUGAGCCCAGGAGUUCUGGGCUGCAGUGUGCAAUGCCAAUCGGGGGUAUUCACUAAGUUGGGCAUCAAUAUGAUGACCUCCCUGGAGCAGGGGGACCACCAGGUUGCCUAAGGAGAGGUGAAUAGGCCAAGGUUGGAAACGGAGCAGGUUCAAAACUCCCAUGCUGAUGGAUCCCUUCAGCCCUUUAACUUUUAAGCAUUCAUGACUGGGUCUUGUAUAAAGGGACCAAAUAUCUGUCUAGAUAUUUGGGCAGAAGUAGGGUGUUUUGAAACCCUGGGAAAAACUUGCUCAGGAUGAUAACAUUUCUUGUGGCAGUUUUCUGUCCACUUCCUGUCCCAUUGUCCCUUAAUAGUAAGGCUUUGGCAAGUGCCACUGAUUAAAGAGGGUUCAGUGCUCUGGUAGAGCCUUUCUUGUCCACAUGGGUGAGGACACAGACUUUUUGGUAGAAUGAAUCAUUAUAUAGAUGGUUCAAGGCAGAGACACACUUUCCUAAUUGCAGAAUUUCUAUCUGUAGGAAAGGCGUUGUUGCUGUCUCCUCCAGUGAGCAGUUUAAGCCUUGGAGACUCAAUUUCAGAAAAUUCUUCCCUCAUGACGCGCCAGCUGCUGUGUGCUAGUCUCAGUACUCUAGAAGAGGGAAGUGUAGACAGUGGGUAGGAUGGGCAUAACUUGUCUCUGCCUGUGGCUUGGUCAAAGGCUAUUUCCUGAAUAUCCCAUGGUUAGGUUUUUUCUGAUCAACGCUAAUGACCGGUUUCAGGGCCCCACUCCCACUCGUGAACGUAGGUCCCCCCCUUCUCCCUUCUCACCAUUAAACAGGUAUAAUAAAGCUGGGGAAUCUUUACAGUUGGUGAUUUUAUAUCAUAGAUCAAAGAUCAAAGCAGAGGAAUACACAGCAACCGUAAAAUUAACUGCUUUUUCAAUUUUACAAUGCUUUCAGUGAUGGAGAAUCUUAUAAAUUUAAUAUUAAUUAAACACUUAGCUUUUAACCUCCUCUUGCAUCUACUUUUGGCUGGUGGCUGGAAAAAAUUAAUUGGGCAUCUUAAAUCUUGUGUUACUAACGCCUUGACAGGAGGGGUUUCAAAAGCACUUAUAACUUCAGCAAAAUGCAUUUGGAGCAUUUGUCCUUCCACUCACCUAAUUGAAAAUGCCUUUUUUUUUUCCUUAAGGUAAAAUGAACCAUUUGCCAAUUUUCUUUCUUAAGGAAGUAUAACUUACAGUCCCUUUUCAUAGCCCAAGCUUUAACUCAGUCCCUUGGCACAUUAACACUUUGCAAAAUGGAAGCCGUUGAACUUCCAUUAUUAUAAACGUCUGAUUGAUUUUGGAACGUGUCGGGGCAGAUGUGUGUCUGGCAGUUUCUCAGACUGAUUGUUGGAUCACCUGCAGCCUCUGUGUGUUCAGUUCAGUGAGAGGUACCUCCUGCUUUAGCAAGUGAGGUAGGCGGUAGCCCCACCUUGGUGGUGAGUGAGCCCACACAGUGAAUCAUAGGCAGUGGCAUCUAAGAAUGGACCUCAGCAACGUGACAAAAGAGUCAGAAUAGCAGAGAAAGGAAAUGAUAUUCUACCCGAAGGAUGUCUCAAAAGCUCGGAAGCUGGUCCGUUGGACAGGUUGUUUUGGGGAAGCUCGACUAGGUUGUUGACAUUUUCUGAGCUGCAGAAGCGACCGAACGUGGUGGCCUUUGGUUGGUGGAUGGGCAUUAAUCUGUCUUUCAUUAGCCAGGUAGGCAACCCUGUCUGUGCUUCAGAAAUAACUCAUCAGGAGGCUUCCGUGUGGCACAGCAGGUUAAGGAUCUGGUGUUGCCAUAGCUGUGGCGCAGGUUCGAUCCCUGGCCUGGGACCGUACACAUGCCUCGAUGUGGGCAAAAAAAAAAAAAA